Molecule: long non-coding RNA, 4176 nt
Filed under: Homo sapiens (human)
Lineage: Eukaryota; Metazoa; Chordata; Mammalia; Primates; Hominidae
Description: non-protein coding lnc-KRR1-4:6
Source: RNAcentral
AGUGGCUGGAGUGGAAGUGAGGAAGAGGGAGAGCUCCUGGGCACCAGAAUGAAUGGGGAGGGUCCUUUAGGGCACUGUGAGGCCAUUAGCUUUUACUCCUACUGAGACUGGACAUCCCAGGAGAGUUUCAGAGCAGAGAAGUGCUAUGACUGCUCUUGAAGUUUAAGAGGACCAGGUGGCUGGCUUUGCUGUGUGUCAGAGAACAGGAGCAGAAACAGGGAGACCAGCUGGGAGGUGACUGCAAAAGUCCAGGUGAGAGGCGAUGGAGCUAGUGAGGAGUGCCGGAGGCCUGGUGUAUUCUGACGGUGCCAGGACCUGUGAUAGGUGCUGAGAGAGUUUGUAGAUAAUAAAACAAAGGUUCAAAGAAGUCAAGUUGUUUGCUCAAGAUCACACAGCUGAUUCUAGACAAAAUGUAUUCAGCAGAGAAGGGAGGAGGAGAACAGUCAAAGUGUAUCAUCUUUCUUGCUGCCCUUGAAGAGUGGUGUCCAGUGAAUCUUUCAAAGAAUGAUACUGAGCUUCAUUGUUGAUGAACAAAAAUGCAAAUCUCACCCAGAGCAUGCAGGAACAUGCUAUAAUCACUACACUCCUAGAAUGUGAUCUCUUUCAAUAUUGACUGCAUCCAUGCCUUCCACACACUUGCACCAGUUGGGAGGAUGGAGAUGUCAUCUGGGCAGAGGGAGAAGAGCAGUACCAUUCAGAGGUCUGUCCCUCUUAAGAUAUAUUCUCUCUGUCAACCUAGACCAUAGUUGUUCAACAUAAUACUUACACAUUUGAAAAAAGAAGAUUGUUUUAUUGGAGUGCCUUAAGAUGUUUUCAACAUAUGGAUUUUACAGCAGGGCAGUUCAAGAGGCAUGAGGAAUGUUUCUUUUCUCUAUUUGUUGGAGCACUGGAGUGUGAGCUGAAGCAGCCUAAUCCUGACUUGCAGAAAUGGAGAGGACAUGACUUACCGGAAUUGUUCAUGGAAUUGGUUUGGCUAAUUCUCAUUGAUUCUGCCAUUUCUCCAGAAGCCAUUACUACAGCUGUUGAAACAGGGGUAGAGAAAAAUGACAGGUGCUAAGUGGUAUCUAGGAGGUUAAUAAUGAGCAUAUUUAAAAUAAUCUCUAGGACUUCUGGAAUUUUCUAGGAGGAAUCUUAAGAAAUGCUCUAGAUUUUGUAACAGCUAAUAAAGGAGAUAUUAUAAUGCUGAUGGUGACAGUGGUGACCCUGAUCUACCCUGGAAAACUUGGCUUUUAUUGUUUAUUCUGUCGUAUCUCAUCGUUAAUUCCUAUUUUUUAUUCUUUACUUUAAAAAUUGUUUUUAUUUUAGCUACACAAUUAGUUACACUUUUUUUAUUCUUGGGACCUAUAACAUUCAAUGAACGUCUUAGAAAGGUGAUGGUAAUGUCUAGACCAAACAAAAGAAGAAUAGGAAACUGUUCAGGUAAGUAAAAAAGAUAGUCUGUCCUCUUUUAGAGUUUUUGUGCUCAGAGGUGAAGUUUUCCCCUCACAUACCUAAUAAAAACUAUAAUUUGCAUUAUAAACUCCCUGCUACUUAGGUUCCUAAGGGGUGGACCAUCUUGACCUUUUAAUUAUUAAUGCUUUUCCUCAAAUUACAAUUAUUUGAGGAAUAAUUACAAUCCCUGUCCUGCUAACUGGCAAUUUUCUAAUAGAGUUUUCAUUUCUCCAUAUUUCAUUAAUUGCAACUUGUGUAUCAUAUAAUGAUAGAAUCUUCAGAACAGCACCUUGUUAACUGGAAAGGUUAUGAAAUGCUAAUGAGCUCUUUUAAAUGGCUAACUCCCUGUAAGACUCUCCAGAUUCUUUCUUUUCUUUAAUGUUUCUUAUAUUUUUAGACAUUCUUCCUUGUAAAGUAUUCUUCAAGAUUAUUUUAAAUAUUCUUGAAAAGAAAUUAACAUAUUUGAUGGCCUUCUGUAUGUUGAACCUGCUCACAUAAUUACUGUGUUUAUUUCUUUCAACAAGCCCUGUGAGUAAGGCAUUCCUGCUCCUCUGCAGUAAAGGGAAACAAGGAUAAAAAAACAAUGUUAUUGGCUCAAGGUCAAUGGUGGAGCAACGAUUUAAGUUCAAAUUUUCCAUCUUCAAAUCUUGUGUUCUUUCUUUUGUAGAACUCAAAGGGCUGUGUGAAAAGUUUACUGUGGAAAAAGAAAUUGAAAAAACUGCCACUAAGUAGCAAUGGAAGGACUUUUCCCGCUAAGAUGAGGAACUGCUCAGAUCACCAGCUGCUUCAGGUUACCAGCCCACACCUGUCUGUCUCACCUCUGACAACCUUGGUAAAGAAACCAAGGCUUAGAGACCUGCUCACAGUCGUUUCGUGAGGGAAUGCAACAUCUGGGUCUAGGGUCCAAAUCUAUCUCUGCUGUGAAGAGGAACUCAUACAGGAGAUCUACAUGAUUACCAAUUCUUGGCCUUGCAGUGGAGGGAUUUGUCCUUACAGUGCUGUGGAAACUGGUGAAGAGGUCUGAGUUUGGAUAUAAAGCUGUAGUUUCUGGCCUGGUGCUGGCACCUGAAGUCCACAGACAGCUGGGCAAAGAAGAUGGAUGGGAAGCAGAGGAAGAAAAGGCAAGCUGAAUGAAGGAGAAACUGGUGCCUUCCAUCAUGGAGCUAAAUAUGCAUCUGGUCCAGGAUUCAGGGAAAUUGAUGCAGCAGGAGGAUCUGGCAGGAGCCCAGCUGCUGCCCCUCACCAACAAGGUGAGCUUGUGGAUAAGUGACAACAUGCAUGAGUUCCAACAGUGCUUGGAGCCCUGCAUCCAUCUUCCAAGCAUAAAAAAACAAGAUGGCUACUGCUUCACUUCCACUUUCUACAUCUUAUGCAAAAUGUCUCUUGAGGUCCACACUGUCCAAGAAAUCUGCAGAAAAGACAUAUGGAAGACUUAGUUCUAAGCCAAGUUGAUACAAUAGACAUCUAUCACACACUAUUUAUCAUAAGAUUUGGUGAGGGACGGGGGGUUCACAGAUGCCCUAAACCCCACUGAUAGAUAGCCUAGGGGUUUAUGAGCCUUGGAUUAUUAAAAAUCUCUCUUCUAGUGUUCAUGAUAAUAGGAAUGGCAUCAGUGACUUAAUUAAGAAAACAUCACCUUCUGAAUUUAGGCUGAUCCGUGUCAAUGAGUUUUAAUAGCUGGAAAAAUUUGUAUUUUAGUUACCUUUCUAAUUUUCUCUUCACUUGAGAGCCUGUCAAUCUUCUCAGUACUCAGGAGUCAGUCUGUCAGUACUAAGGAGUCACAUUCUUUACAAUGCCUUUUUAAAAUGUUAAGUUUUAUUUCCUAAUUUUUCAAGCAAAUGCACAUAUUAUUAAAAAUGUAUAUGCCACUGACUUUAGUCAUAAUUAAAUAAAAUAAAUGAGUGGUUUUUCUUUGAAAUCAAAUGUAUCAGGUAAUUUUAAGCCAUGGAAUUGUGUUUAAGUUAUUGCCAUUUAUUUUGAAUUUUUAAACUUAUUGAGCACUGGGUCCUCCUUUAUUCUUACUCUAGUUUUUCACUUUUGCCCUUAUGAAUCUUUUGAGUUAAUAGAAAACCUUUCAGUUAGAUUGUCUCUUGAUCUUUUGACCAAUCUUCAACUUCAUAGAAAGUAGGUAGCCCCUGCCCAUCUGCUUACUGACACAAGGAAAAGCCUUUCUAUUGCUAGGUGCUAUCUAGUGCUGGAUAAUAACAGCUGAGAUAUUGGGAGUUUUAUGCAGUGCUACUUUAUUGCUAUGGGAACUUAGACAACUCUCUUUUCUGAAAACUGUUUUCACAAAAAAAUUGCUUCAUAGGAUUUCACUAAACAUCUUCCCAUUGUCAGGUGGUUCUCAAAGUCUUACAUCUUGUAAUGAAUGUGAUUAUCAAGUUUACAUAAACAUCGAUAAAAAGAAAAGUCUUUUUCUUUUUACCCAUUGUCCAAUAUGUACCUGAGAUACUUUCUGGUAUUAUAUCAUGGAGGCGAAAAAUAGCAGUUGAUGGAAAUAUGGUAUUAGUACAAAAAGUGAUUUUGGAUUUUUAAAACUGUAUUCAUUCAAAAAUUAUGUCCAUUAAAAAAUAAUUCCUAUAGAUAUUUAGUUAGAAAGUAAACAAGACUUCUUAGGUUCUGGCCUUAUGAUCUAAACAGAAAGUUUCAUUCAUGUAUCUUAUCUGUAAAAUUACAUUUGUAAUUUCUUAAUUUUCAUAGAAAAUGACCUCGUUUUAAUUAUUGGUCUUCUGGACUUAGGCAUAG